CUCCGGCAGCGAAGUGGUUAACCCCGGAUGCGAUUUCCACCCCGGCUCUCCAGCCCCAGCCCCGCUGCCUCCCGGACAAGCGCUCUCCUGGGCAGGUUGCUGGUCCGAGGCCAAGGGGAGGGCCACGCCGGCGGGGCAGCCUUUGUCCCAGGAGCGGGCUCCCGGCUCCAGGUGCGCGCGGACUCCGGGACGAGCGCGGCGGGGCCGGAGCGGCGGCCGGAGCCGGAGGGGUUGGAGGAGGAAUGGACACCAAAGCCAAGGCUGUUGCAGGUCUCCUGGCAGCCACUUGUGUCUGCAGCAUCAUCACCCUCAUUCUGAGCGUUGUGAACGUGAAGGAUGUGUUUCUUCCCCCCAGCACCAAGUACGGGCUGGUGUUUGACGCCGGCUCCACACACACGUCCCUCUACACCUACCGGUGGCCCGCGGACAAGGAGAACGGCACCGGCAUCGUGUCCCAGGUGGAUGUUUGCACCGUGGAAGGUGAGUGUGCUGGGAUGUGCCUGUCCCUCUCCCUGCCCAGCUCACCUGGGGGACGCUGUGGCUGCCCAGCUCCGGUGCUUGCCAGGGUGGCUGUUCCACAUGCCAAAGCUGGUUCACAUCAGGUGUGGUAAACGGUAUAUUUAUUUAUUGGGCAUUUUUAAACACCCACAAGGGUGUUUAUUCCUAUUGCAAAGGUGCUGUCAGGCUUUGGCACACGGACAAAUGUCUCCAGAGGAAAGGACCAGGAUAGAGGGGGGAUGUGGGGGUCAGAUAAAUGGUAGAUGAAGCUGGGCUGG
This 776-nucleotide long non-coding RNA is filed under the name Lepidothrix coronata (blue-crowned manakin). RNAcentral's name for it is "lncRNA (ENSLCOG00000003157.1)". The record is from RNAcentral. Lineage: Eukaryota; Metazoa; Chordata; Aves; Passeriformes; Pipridae.